GUGGCAUUCGACUCAUCCAUGGCCAAAAUUCCACGUCCUGGUGAUGCAACAGUUUUCUACAAAUAACAAACACUUCAUUGUUAGCAAAGAAAAUUUUACACAAAACAUAAACUCGUUAAACUAAAACUUACAGCGGUUUUAAUGAGCUCAUCAGCAUAAGAGGAAGCAGCGCAGACAGUAAGAGAAGUGGCAUUGGUGGGAUGGCAACGGACCACUGAGACGGAAGGCUGACGAAGGCUUUGCCCCUUUAAAAACUCAGAUU
Long non-coding RNA from Solanum verrucosum, 262 nucleotides. RefSeq lists it as uncharacterized. Lineage: Eukaryota; Viridiplantae; Streptophyta; Magnoliopsida; Solanales; Solanaceae. The record is from RefSeq and is a predicted model, not a curated record. The transcript is spliced from 2 exons.